Molecule: small nuclear RNA, 107 nt
Organism: Octopus sinensis (East Asian common octopus)
Lineage: Eukaryota; Metazoa; Mollusca; Cephalopoda; Octopoda; Octopodidae
Source: RefSeq, a predicted model, not a curated record
GUACUAGCUACGGCGGUACAGAUUCUAAAACUGGAAGGAUACAGAGAAGAUUAGCAUGGCCCCAGCACAAGGAUGACGCGCAAAUUUGUGAAGCGUUCCAUAUUUCA